UCUGGCGCGCCAGAAGAGCCCGGUUUUAAGCGCAACCUGUCUCGGAGUAGUUCCUCUGAGCUGGAUCAGCGUUCCCGUGUGUAUGAGUGGAGAGAGGUGGAAAGUUGACACACGGCUUAGAGCUGGAGGUCGGAUUUGGUCUAAAACGGAGAGAUUUGUUUUGGAUAGGGCGCGUUUGGUAUGCGUAAAAAGCCAGCAGCGUGUAAAUAAACCAAGAGAAUCACCUGCAGAGUACGGAAAAAAGAAAAUUAGCUGAAAACAUCUGAACCGUAGUGAGAUCUCACAUCGGUGGUUUCUUUCACUUUUAUCCGCUCGUUUCUGUUUUCUGGCAACAGAAAGUCAUGGGUCACUGACUCUGACAUGAGGACGCACCUUCCUUCUCUCAGCCUACUGAUCAGACCAGCGGCCAGCAGCGGGAAGCAGCGGGGAGCAACAAGCGUCUAAAUGAUCAGCUCUGUGUGCGUUUCGACUUACCGAGGGCGCAAGUCAGGAAACAAACCUCCGUCUAAAUCAUGUCUGAAGGAGGAGAUGGCCAGAGGGGAGGACUCGGAAAAAAUCAUCAUCAACGUUGGCGGCACCCGGCACGAGACCUACAAGAGCACCUUGCGGACGCUGCCGGGGACGCGCCUGGCCUGGCUGGCCGAACCAGACUCUCAGGGCUGCUGCUCCGAAUCGGAUGCCGAGCUCCCGAGCGUCUCCGAGUUCUUCUUUGACCGACACCCGGGCAUCUUUGCCUAUGUGCUCAACUACUAUCGGACCGGGAAGCUGCACUGUCCGGCAGACGUGUGCGGCCCGCUGUUCGAGGAGGAGCUGGCCUUCUGGGGGAUAGAUGACACCGACGUGGAACCGUGCUGCUGGAUGACCUACCGGCAGCACCGGGACGCGGAAGAGGCUCUGGAGAUAUUCGAGCCGCCAGACCUGGAGGACACAGACGACGACAGAGACACGCCGAGACGGUUCGGCAUUGAGGACCGCAGCGACAGGUCCAGGGGAUGCUGGGAAGUUUGGCGACCCAAAGUGUGGGCCUUGUUUGACGACCCCUACACCUCCAAAGCAGCCAGGGGAGUGGCAAUCAUCUCUCUCUUCUUCAUCCUGGUGUCCAUCACUACGUUCUGCUUGGAGACGCAUCAGGCCUUCGACGUCAAACAAAACAUUACAGAUCUUGUCACAGAGGGAAAUAUCACGCGAAUGGAGAUUAGGCAGGAGAUCGUCACCAACCCAAAGCUCAUCAUGGUGGAGGGAAUCUGUGUGGUGUGGUUUACCUUUGAGUUCCUGGUCCGGAUCAUCUGCUGUCCAAACAAACUGGCCUUCAUCAAGAACACACUCAACAUCAUUGACUUUGUGGCCAUCCUGCCUUUCUACCUGGAGAUGACUUUGAGGGGUCUGUCGUCCAGGGCGGCCAGCAACGUGCUGGGUUUCCUCCGCGUGGUGCGCUUCGUGAGGAUUCUGCGGAUCUUCAAGCUCACGCGUCACUUUGUGGGCCUGCGCGUGCUGGGUCACACGCUGAGGGCCAGCGUCAACGAAUUCCUCCUGCUGGUUAUCUUCCUCGCAUUGGGGGUGCUCAUCUUUGCCACCAUGAUUUACUACGCCGAGCGCAUUGGAGUCACCUACAACCCCCAGAUUAACAACCACUUCAAAAACAUCCCCAUCAGCUUCUGGUGGGCGGUGGUCACUAUGACAACGCUGGGCUACGGGGACAUGUAUCCACAGACAUGGCUGGGUAUGAUGGUGGGGGCGCUGUGUGCUCUGGCCGGCGUGCUGACCAUCGCCAUGCCCGUCCCGGUCAUCGUCAACAACUUCGGCAUGUACUACUCGCUGGCUAUGGCGAAGCAGAAGCUGCCGAAGAAGAAGAAGAAGCACACCCAGAACCCAGACGCGCCGACCGACUCGGCCUCCUUUGUGAAAUCGGAGACAAACUCACACAUAGACAGCACUCAGAGCGACACGUGUCCGCUGGCGGCGGAGGAGAGCAGCAGCAGGAACCGCUCAGACUCCAAACAGAACGGGGACGCGAAUGUGGCCCUUUCAGACGAGGAAGGCUGCAGUCUGACCCAGCCGCUGUCCCCCAGUGAGAAGUGGUCGCUGCACUGCUCCAGAGGACGAGGCAAGAACAAGGAGGGCACCUGCUUCAUCCUAACGUCUGGAGAGCCCAACCUCCAUGUUGCAGCCACACACCUGUAAGAGCACUGCGGUCGACCAGGCAGUUUUUCCUCGAUGUUCCCAGAUUAAAGUAAAAUCUUAAAGAAGGCUGUACAGAUAUUCUCGGUACCACUGGAAGCUACACCCAGCCGGAGGUCACCACUCUGACCUAACCGAGGAGGAGGAAACGUGAAGUCUGCUGUCCGAUCCCUGCUGUCGAAAGAAACCGCAGAGCCACAUAUUGUACAUCAAGAUGAAUCAUUCCUGUUUCCUCCUGUAACAUAUCUGAUCAACAGUAGAUAUGUACAGUCAUAUUUGCGAAGCACUUUGCAUGUAUUGCAUGACCUAACAUGGUACUAGAGUUAUACCAGAUACACUUACAACGAACUGGACAAUAUAGCUCCUUCUAAGGGCCCUGAAGCCAUUUUUUUCUGUCUAUUUAUGAGCUACAGGCUCAUAAAACCAUCAGACAGUUUCCACCUCCAAGGGGAAUUGUUCUAUUUCCUUUUUUUACAGCUCAAAGUGGUAAAACCCCAAAUUUUACUAUUCCUGUUGCGAGAAUCAUUUUCCUCUAAUACAGCAAGCAUUACACAGUAAAAAUCUAAAUCAGAGUCAAUUAAAGAAAGAGGAAAAUAGAAGCACCAAAGCUAUGUAAGCAAUUUUGUUCUUCUUCUUUCAGCAUGGCAAUACAUCUUAUUCUAAAAUGUGAUAUUACAUAAGUAAAUUAAGUAAGAGGUCAGCUGGCCGCUAACUAACUAACUAAUUUAGGUCUUAAAUCCAAGCAAGAAACUUAGUAAAGAACUUUGGAUUUGUUUAAAAUAAUUUACAAUACAAAUAAAAACUGUCCUCACAGUGACUAUUUAUUAGUUUGUGAUAUGUAGUUAAAGCUUUUUUAUUUAUUUAUUUAGAUAGGUAGUCACUGGGAUAACAACCAUUACAGAAAUAUGAGCACACACACCUAUCAUGGGGAUUUCAUCUAUUAUUCAUUUUGGAUUUUUUAUCAUUUAUUUGAACUGUUAUGUUUUUUUGGUAGAGUGACGACACAGCAUACAACUUUAGUUAUUUCUAAAAAUAAGAAUUAGGAGCACAACUAUAAAUUUAUUUGGGCUUUUCUAACCACCAGUAGUCAAAACUAAUACAAGCAGCUCUAAUACAUUCAUGCAGCACAUCUAAUAUUUUUCUACACGUCUUUUAGCAGAUAAGUCGCCCUUUUCUGCAUCCAUCAACAAGCUCUGGGUUCCUUUCUGGUACAGAAUCAGAUUUUAACUAUUUUACUGGCUUGAGGUUGAAAAUUUUAAAGGAGUAAUUUGCAAACUUUAAACUUUGACACAGUUACGUUUUCCAGAGAUAAUAUUAGACUCUUUUAAUGGUAUUGACAACAAUGGUAUUGAAAAUGUCUGAGUUAUUUUUAAAAGUAGAGUCAAUAUCCAGACACAAAAUUAAAAUACUAAUAUUAAGGCGGGAUAUCCAGCCAGAAACACUUCAUGCCUGUUGAUGGCUUCAAAAGGUGGAGGCGUUUAUCUGAAACUUAGCAUUGAUUAUUGAACCAAAUCAUUGGAGUUGUAUGUUGCCUUAUCAUUUCACAGUUCAAAUAAACCAAUAAAAGCCUAAAAUAAUACUAUGGUGAUGAUAGGUUUGAACAGAGCCGUAGGUGUUAUUGAGACACCUUUGAGCAUAGAUUAUCAUAUUUUCCGCUGUUUGCCUUCUGCUGUGUCACUGCCUUCUAAUUCUGCAGAAUGUGCAGAUCUGCCCAGAAACAAUGCUGCUUAAGCAACAUGUUAACUUGUAAAUGCUUAUAAAUUAGGACAGUUUGACAGAAGCUGGAGAAAAUAAAUCGGCGGAGCAGUAUUGUCUGAUCAUCAUAUUAGCUCAGUGCAGUCGAUGCAUCGUUACUGGUUGACUCUGGACCAAAAUGCAGACUCUAUUAGAUUAAGUGGUAGAUUUUCUGUACGUGCUGGUAAAAAUACAUACGGUACAAUGCCAUCGGUUCCGCUCGUGCCUCAUGGUGAGUAAUGGCGUUUAGAUGUCUGUAAUGUAAUCAGCUUUUGUUUCUCGCUGCUUCCAAGCCCAGAAGCAGCAGGAAAAAGAGUUCUUUACCCGUGUUUAUAAUGUAUUCCUCAUGCUCUACCAUAGUGGCCUUAUGUUUAAUAAAGCAAAAGGGAAAUUAAUUUAUGUCCUUAAACUAUUUCUAUACUGAUGCUGAUGUCUGUAACGUAUAAGCAGCUGUAAGUAUGUAGCACAGUACAUGAUAGAUGAUUAAUUACCUGUAAAGUCUGUUUAUGCAUCAUAAAAUAGCUGUUAACCAACAAUGAGAGAUCAUUAUUUUGAAUAUUCACCUUUUUACCCUUAUUUGUUGUAUAUAUUUGACGUUAUCAGACAAGCACACUGCACAUCUGUUCAACAUUUGACCUGAACUGAUCAAAAAGGAAACUGUGGUGAAUUUUAGCCCAGUUUAACUGUCAGAUGUAUGUGUGUGUGCGUGUGUAUGGGAGGGAGUGUGUGAUGCUAUACCUCCUAGGCAUGUAUUUCUAUGCAGAAAUUCAAAUAAAACCCAUUUCCUCCCCCUGGUGUUGAAGA
This is an RNA transcript of Gambusia affinis (western mosquitofish), 4716 nucleotides long. It is a transcript of the gene named potassium voltage-gated channel, Shaw-related subfamily, member 4, with no coding region annotated. NCBI's taxonomy places the organism in Eukaryota, Metazoa, Chordata, Actinopteri, Cyprinodontiformes, Poeciliidae. The record is from RefSeq and is a predicted model, not a curated record. The transcript is spliced from 5 exons.